CAGUGGUAUGACUGCUGUGCCUGGGCUUUUAUUCCCUUCCUCUCACCUGCGGCUGAGCAUUCCCUUUUCAGAAAGGUGGAAUCUUAGUUUCUUCGAACAAUUCUCAAUGCAACUAUGCCUCAGUCUCCAACUAGUUGGGUUGGCUGUAUGAGAUUCUCUGUAUCCUAAAAGAUUCACCGUGAUUUGACUAUUUAUGCUGGCUGUUAACCUUCCACGGCCCUCCUCCUGAGAUCGGACUAUUUAUGCUGGCUGUUAACCUUCCACGGCCCUCCUCCUGAGAUCGGCUUUGCUUUUCACGUACGCAGAGUUAUUCUUCUCUCAUUAAGUGAUUCGCAAAAAAAACUAGAAAAUCAGCACAUGUAUCUUGCAUAUUUGCUUGGAUGGGUACAACUAUAUUUUGUGGAUAAAAGGACAGCCCGGUGCACAAGGCAUCCCGCGUUCACUCAGGUCCGGGGAAGGGCAGCACUCCAAGGGGUGUGAUGUAGAUAACCUACCCUAAUGCAAGCAUUAGUGGCUGCUUCCGCGGUUCGAACUCGUGACCACACGGAGACAAUUUAACCAUUGCUCCAAGACUCCCCUUCAACAACUAUAUUUUGUGGAUAGUUUUAUGAAAACUCGAUCGAAGUUGGACGCCAGCAGUAAUGAACUUUCUUGCCAGAAUAUAUGUUGUGCAUUUGGGUAACAUAAUAGUUGCUCGAGAGAGUCUUUAAACUUGUGGACAUUUUAGCUAACAGGAAGAGGAGGGGGGGAGGGGGGUAACGGGGAGGUGUUGGUCAGAGUUUAGGUGGUCUAUGCUGCUAUAAGCUGUUAGCAACGCCUAACAGCUGGAAUAUUUUUCUUGGUGGAG
This 847-nucleotide long non-coding RNA is filed under the name Nicotiana tabacum (common tobacco). Its description in RNAcentral is "long non-coding RNA (NTAB_LNC010867)". The record is from RNAcentral. Lineage: Eukaryota; Viridiplantae; Streptophyta; Magnoliopsida; Solanales; Solanaceae.